This 780-nucleotide ribosomal RNA is filed under the name uncultured bacterium. RNAcentral's name for it is "bacterial SSU rRNA". It matches the Rfam family "Bacterial small subunit ribosomal RNA", at positions 28 to 809 of the family's 1533-position model. The record is from RNAcentral.
GAUGAACGCUGGCGGCGUGCCUAACACAUGCAAGUCGAACGGAGCUGCUUUGAUGAAGUUUUCGGAUGGAUUUAAAACAGCUUAGUGGCGGACGGGUGAGUAACGCGUGGGUAACCUGCCUCACACUGGGGGAUAACAGUUAGAAAUAGCUGCUAAUACCGCAUAAGCGCACAGUUCCGCAUGGAACAGUGUGAAAAACUCCGGUGGUGUGAGAUGGACCCGCGUCUGAUUAGCCAGUUGGCGGGGUAACGGCCCACCAAAGCGACGAUCAGUAGCCGGCCUGAGAGGGUGAACGGCCACAUUGGGACUGAGACACGGCCCAAACUCCUACGGGAGGCAGCAGUGGGGAAUAUUGCACAAUGGGGGAAACCCUGAUGCAGCGACGCCGCGUGAGUGAAGAAGUAUUUCGGUAUGUAAAGCUCUAUCAGCAGGGAAGAAAGUGAUGGUACCUGAAUAAGAAGCCCCGGCUAACUACGUGCCAGCAGCCGCGGUAAUACGUAGGGGGCAAGCGUUAUCCGGAUUUACUGGGUGUAAAGGGAGCGUAGACGGCAAGGCAAGUCUGAAGUGAAAGCCCGGUGCUUAACGCCGGGACUGCUUUGGAAACUGUUUGGCUGGAGUGCCGGAGAGGUAAGCGGAAUUCCUAGUGUAGCGGUGAAAUGCGUAGAUAUUAGGAAGAACACCAGUGGCGAAGGCGGCUUACUGGACGGUAACUGACGUUGAGGCUCGAAAGCGUGGGGAGCAAACAGGAUUAGAUACCCUGGUAGUCCACGCCGUAAACGA